UACGGGGGGGGCAAGCGUUGUUCGGAAUUAUUGGGCGUAAAGAGCUUGUAGGCGGUUUGUCGCGUCUGCCGUGAAAACUCGGGGCUUAACCCCGGGCCUGCAGUGGGUACGGGCAGACUAGAGUGCGGUAGGGGAGACUGGAAUUCCUGGUGUAGCGGUGAAAUGCGCAGAUAUCAGGAGGAACACCGGUGGCGAAGGCGGGUCUCUGGGCCGUAACUGACGCUGAGGAGCGAAAGCAUGGGGAGCGAACAGG
Molecule: ribosomal RNA, 253 nt
Filed under: uncultured bacterium
Lineage: Bacteria
Description: partial 16S ribosomal RNA
Rfam family: Bacterial small subunit ribosomal RNA
Source: RNAcentral